This 430-nucleotide ribosomal RNA is filed under the name uncultured bacterium. Its description in RNAcentral is "bacterial SSU rRNA". It matches the Rfam family "Bacterial small subunit ribosomal RNA", at positions 354 to 796 of the family's 1533-position model. The record is from RNAcentral.
GUGGGGAAUAUUGCGCAAUGGGCGAAAGCCUGACGCAGCGACGCCGCGUGAGGGAUGAAGGUCUUCGGAUUGUAAACCUCUUUCAGCAGGGACGAAGCGAAAGUGACGGUACCUGAAGAAGAAGCACCGGCUAACUACGUGCCAGCAGCCGCGGUAAUACGUAGGGUGCAAGCGUUGUCCGGAUUUAUUGGGCGUAAAGAGCUCGUAGGCGGUUAGACACGUCGGAUGUGAAAACUGGGGGCUUAACUCCCAGCCUGCAUUCGAUACGGUCUGACUAGAGUGUGGUAGGGGUAACUGGAAUUCCUGGUGUAGCGGUGAAAUGCGCAGAUAUCAGGAGGAACACCGAUGGCGAAGGCAGGUUACUGGGCCACCACUGACGCUGAGGAGCGAAAGCGUGGGGAGCAAACAGGAUUAGAUACCCUUGUAGUCC